RNAcentral lists this long non-coding RNA (1106 nucleotides) under Mus musculus (house mouse). Its description in RNAcentral is "long non-coding RNA chr12:30016544-30017650". Lineage: Eukaryota; Metazoa; Chordata; Mammalia; Rodentia; Muridae. The record is from RNAcentral.
AUUAUUUCCACUAUGCAAAUUUCUUUUUAAUUCAGUGAAAAGCAACUGUUAUACCUCAUAGUCUCUUGUUUUUAAUUGACCAAAAUAUUCCAUUCUAUUCUCACAAGGUUCUGAGGUCUCUGCCUGAAAAAGCAAGUCUCACCCUAUAGACACUGAUGUGCCCAGCACUACGUGCCAGCCAUUGUGGGAACACAAGAGGGUCACCUGCCCAAGGGCUAGGGAGGAAGACCUCAAGAACACAGAGGAGGUGGAAAAGGACAAAAUAGGUGCCAUUUUAGGGAGACCAUGGUCAGAUAGGGGGAUGCUCAGUUCCUUGCAGCCUCGGGCGGGCUUAUGUUGGCACUAAGGCCAUUGUGGAGUGUACUUAUAUGAUCCCUAUGCUGAUAGGAUUACCUUCCUAGACAUAGCUAGACGCAAAGCCACAUGUGUAAGGCUGCUGAGCAAAGACAGCAUCCCAGCAUGGGUGUGUUCACGGUGGAUUCACCACGUUGCAUAUGUAAAGUGGUCCCCUUGGCUUACCCUUCACUUUGCUCAUGAGAUUCAGAAGCUGGUGGUCCAGCAGGGGUGAGCAUUUGUGAAAUAGUAAGCUGAACUUAGUGGUGAGAUUUCAGAACAGACUUCUGUGAAGUAAGAGAUGUAACCAUGCAUCUAAAAUCAGAUGGCCGUGUAACUGCUCGGGCAUAGAAAUGGUGGGAGAACCUGUCCUGGGUACCUGGCAUUUCACAUGAGCCCAGGGAUAUGUCUUGUGCCAAGGCACACAAGUGUCCAUGGACUUGGACAGGUGCCAAGGGUUUUUGUCUCUGUUCCUAUGUGGGAGGCUGGCUGUGAUUUACAUUAAUUUCUGUAUUUCAAACGAAGAUGUCUGCAGAUCUCCAUUUUGAUGUUACAGCCUCAUUGCCCAGGCAGUGGGCAGUGCCCAGACACCCUUUCUGACUAGCCACUGCAUUGGGCUUCUGUGAUUCAAAGUAGUGUAUAUAUUUAUUUACUUCUCUGACUGUGGCCAACAGCCAAAUGCCAUUUUAUGUUCCUUGUAUUCAGUCCAUUACCAAAGAGGUGUUUGCACUUUGUAAUGAUACCUUUCAGUUCAAAUAAAAGGACCACAUCGU